GUUCAGCUAAUAUGUCUCAAAUAGGACGAAACGCGCGUCCUGGAU
This 45-nucleotide non-coding RNA is filed under the name Schistosoma curassoni. The record is from RNAcentral. Lineage: Eukaryota; Metazoa; Platyhelminthes; Trematoda; Strigeidida; Schistosomatidae.